AGUGGCGAACGGGUGAGUAACACGUGAGCAACCUGCCCGGAAGAUGGGAAUAGCCCGGCGAAAGCCGGAUUAAUGCCCGAUGUGAUCGCAAGAUUAAAGGUGGCUUCGGCUACCACUUCCGGAUGGGCUCGCGGCCUAUCAGCUAGUUGGCGGGGUAAUGGCCCACCAAGGCGACGACGGGUAACUGGUCUGAGAGGAUGAUCAGUCACACUGGAACUGAGACACGGUCCGGACACCUACGGGUGGCAGCAGUCGAGAAUCAUUCACAAUGGGCGAAAGCCUGAUGGUGUGACGCCGCGUGGAGGAUGACGGUCCUAGGAUUGUAAACUCCUGUCAUCAGGGAGUAAAGCUCUGGCGUUAAUAGCGUCAUGAGCUGAUAGUACCUGAAGAGGAAGGGGCGGCUAACUCUGUGCCAGCAGCCGCGGUAAUACAGAGGCCCCAAGCGUUGUUCGGAUUUACUGGGCGUAAAGAGUACGUAGGCGGCGAGGUAAGUCAGAUGUGAAAGACCGGGGCUCAACCCCGGAACUGCAUCCGAUACUGCCUUGCUUGAGGAUUGGAGAGGAGACUGGAAUUCAUGGUGUAGCAGUGAAAUGCGUGGGUAUCAUGAGGAAGACCAAUGGCGAAGGCAGGUCUCUGGACAAUUCCUGACGCUGAGGUACGAAGGCUGGGGGAGCAAAAAGGAUUAGAUACCCUUGUAGUCCCAGCAGUAAACGGUGUGCGCUUGGUGUG
RNAcentral lists this ribosomal RNA (729 nucleotides) under uncultured Luteolibacter sp. RNAcentral's name for it is "bacterial SSU rRNA". It matches the Rfam family "Bacterial small subunit ribosomal RNA", at positions 94 to 824 of the family's 1533-position model. Lineage: Bacteria; Pseudomonadati; Verrucomicrobiota; Verrucomicrobiia; Verrucomicrobiales; Verrucomicrobiaceae. The record is from RNAcentral.